RNAcentral lists this non-coding RNA (26 nucleotides) under Homo sapiens (human). The record is from RNAcentral. Lineage: Eukaryota; Metazoa; Chordata; Mammalia; Primates; Hominidae.
UGGUACGUGUGUGUCACAGCUCAAGC